This 484-nucleotide ribosomal RNA is filed under the name uncultured bacterium. RNAcentral's name for it is "partial 16S ribosomal RNA". It matches the Rfam family "Bacterial small subunit ribosomal RNA", at positions 30 to 507 of the family's 1533-position model. The record is from RNAcentral.
AUUGAACGCUGGCGGCAGGCCUAACACAUGCAAGUCGAGCGGAUGAAGGGAGCUUGCUCCUGGAUUCAGCGGCGGACGGGUGAGUAAUGCCUAGGAAUCUGCCUGGUAGUGGGGGAUAACGUCCGGAAACGGGCGCUAAUACCGCAUACGUCCUGAGGGAGAAAGUGGGGGAUCUUCGGACCUCACGCUAUCAGAUGAGCCUAGGUCGGAUUAGCUAGUUGGUGGGGUAAAGGCCUUCCAAGGCGACGAUCCGUAACUGGUCUGAGAGGAUGAUCAGUCACACUGGAACUGAGAAACGGUCCAGACUCCUACGGGAGGCAGCAGUGGGGAAUAUUGGACAAUGGGCGAAAGCCUGAUCCAGCCAUGCCGCGUGUGUGAAGAAGGUCUUCGGAUUGUAAAGCACUUUAAGUUGGGAGGAAGGGCAGUAAGUUAAUACCUUGCUGUUUUGACGUUACCAACAGAAUAAGCACCGGCUAACUUCGUG